RNAcentral lists this long non-coding RNA (1388 nucleotides) under Homo sapiens (human). RNAcentral describes it as "HSALNT0331405". The record is from RNAcentral. Lineage: Eukaryota; Metazoa; Chordata; Mammalia; Primates; Hominidae.
UUCGCCCCCGGGCCUUUCAGUGGCGCGGGCCGAGUGGCCAUGGCGCUCGGGUGCGCGCAGUGCACGCGGAAGGCGGUGCGGUGGCUCACACCUGUAAUCCCAGUACUUUGGGACGCCGAGGUGAGUGGAUCACCUGAGGCCAGGAGUUCGAGACCAGCCUGGCCAACAUGGUGAAACGUCAUCUCUAUUAGAAAUACAAACAUUAGCUGGGCGUGGUGAUGGGUGCUUGUAAUUCCAGCUAUUCAGGAAACCAAGGCAGGAGAAUAACUUGAAUCCACGAGGCAGAGGUUGCAGUGAGCCGAGAUUGCUCCACUGCACUCCAGCCUGGGCAACAGAGCAAAAACUGCAUCUCAAAAAAAUAAAAACAAAAAAACAGAGGGGACACCAGUUCCCAGCACUCCAGGCCUAACUUCAUAGCACUCACAUCAUGUCAAGUGAGUAACCAAAAAUCAGUGUACAUAUGUACACAGCUAUACAUAUCUCACACUAAGUUUUCUGUAAGAGUUCUUUUUAUUGCAGAGACACUGCUUUUUUUCUGGUUUAUGAAAUACAGUGAACAUUUAUGGACACAAAGCUGAGGUGACAGGGUGGGGAGGGGGGCCUUGGAACAGCACCAAGAAUCCUGGUUGAACCCUCCAAGUGAAAAGAUCCUGCCACGACAUACGUGAACCAGGUGUGACACGUGAGCACGUCUCACCUGAUCCGGCCUAUGGUGGGGAGAAGCAAUUGAGGAAGGCCUUCUGGGCAGGAGGAAGUUGUUGCUGAGGCUGCCGAGCAGGAUGUGUUGGGCCUGUGACUUAGGCAGAAAGGGCGCUCAGGCCCACAUGCUCAGAUGUGAGGACCUGCUUGCUGUGUUCAGGGAGCCACAAGUCACCUGGUCUUAGGGAAAGGUGAGGGGACUGGAGAGUUCUGAGGACCUUGAGGUAGAUUGGCACUGCCAGGCAUGUAGGCUGGCUUUAGCUCACUGAUACGCCUUGUUCAGCCCAGAGAGGUUUUCUUUUUUUAAUUGAUUAGUUGAUUUAAGAAACAUUUAGAUUUGGGAUGAGCUGUUUUGGAUGUUUAUCCUCAAUGAAACUCAUGUUCAAACUUAAUCUCCAAUGUGGCAGUACUGAGAGGUGGGGCCUCUAAGCGUGGUUGGGAUUAACCUGUCGAUGGAUUCAUGGAUUAAAGGGUUAUCACCGGAGUGGGACUGGUGACUUCAUUAGAAGAGGAAGGAAGACCUGAGCUGGCCUGUGAAUAUGCUCCGCCCCCUGGCCAUGUGACACCUGCGCCACCCUCAGGACUCUGCAGAGUCCCCAGCAGCAAGAAGGCCCUCACCAGGUGCAGCCCCUCAACCUUGGACUUCUCAGCCCCCAGGGCUGUAACAAAUAAAUUCUUUUUUAAAGUAA